UAUUUACCUAUAUUUAACUACCUGCUCUAUGAUAGGCAUGAAGCCAAGAGGCACUUUCACUCUCGCUAUUAAGUACAUUUUGACCGCUAAGAAACUUACUGUAAUUUACCUCAG
Aotus nancymaae (Ma's night monkey) is the source of this 114-nucleotide unclassified non-coding RNA. Lineage: Eukaryota; Metazoa; Chordata; Mammalia; Primates; Aotidae. The record is from Ensembl.